This 219-nucleotide unclassified non-coding RNA is filed under the name Hevea brasiliensis (rubber tree). Lineage: Eukaryota; Viridiplantae; Streptophyta; Magnoliopsida; Malpighiales; Euphorbiaceae. The record is from RNAcentral.
AAACUGUUAAUGUCCUAAAUAGAUGGACUUUGUUAUUUUAUCAUGAUUAUGCACGGUGAUUGUGUAAAUCAUUUAAUUCCGAAGUAGUUAUUCCACAAACAUUGGUGGCUCUUCUAUGACUAAUUAAAGCUCAUAGUUCAUUGCCAAUAAGGUUCAUAGCUUUUAGAUGAAUCUUUCAGGUUGUUUUCAUGCCCCCGUUUCUGUGUUCUGAAGGACAUG